GGAACACAAGCAGGGGGAGUGGGAGAGGGAAAAGCAGGCUUCCCGUUGAGCAGGGUGCCCGAUGCAGGGCUCGAUCCCAGGACCCUGGGAUCAUGACUUGAGCUGAAGGCAGACAUUUAACCAACUGAGCCACCCAGGUGCCCCCAUAGUAGGUCUUCUGAUAUUAAACUGUCUUGUCCAGUUCCUGGGAUAAAUUCUACUUGGUGAUGGUGAUGUAUUAUUAUUUCCUUAAGGUACAGCUGGAUUCAGUUUGUUAAUGUUUUAUUUAGGAUUUUUGCACCUAGUUUUAGAAGUAAAAUUGACCCCUGAUUUUCUUUUUCUGGAGUGCCCUUGCUUACUUUUUGUGUCCUUGAUGAAUGAGUCAGAAAGAAUGCUUUUAAUGCUUUGGAGAUCUUAAUCUUUCUUACACAAAGACUUAUUCCUUGAAGUUUUGCUAUAAUUAGCUGGUUUAAUUGUCUGAGGCCAUUGCCUUUGGGAGAGGUCUUUUGUCUUUUCGUUUUCUUUUUCAGUUAACAGUUUUUCAUUUUCAUUAUCAUUUUUUUUACUUGAUUUUAGGCAAUUUCUAUUCUUCUAGGAAAUCACCCAUUUCUUCUGGUCUUUUCCGUCUCUCCUCCCUCCCUCCGCCUCUCUCUUACUGAAGGCACUGUCUCCUUUGCCUGCAGCGCUGCUUCUUGCCUGGAUGUCCAGACUCCACCUUAGGCUCAGAAGAGCAGCGUUCUGUUCACUACUUUGGAUCUCCCACGGUAGAGUCUUGAUCUUUUUGUGCUGAGUUACGCUCAUCCUGGUCAUUAUCCCUGCUCGUUCUUCGUACAGGGACCAGGGACCAGGGACCAGCACAUGUCCUUUAGUUUUAUAUCCUGCGCACAGCCACAGAUCCUAGCACACUGGGGCUGGGGGAGAAUCCUGUUGACCUUGUAGUAGAAAGCCGUGUCAUUGGUCAUCGGCUAUCCUAGCAUCCCUCCUGUGUGGCCUCUCCCUCUAAGUAUAUGGCCCUACGCUGUUGAACUCAGAAGUGACCAUGUGACUUGAUUUGCUCAUGAGCUGUGGUCCCAGGUAUCACUUUGGGUCAAAUUUGUAAGUAUGGUUCUCUGUUUUUUAUUUUCCUCUAUCCGUCCUCCUGAUCAUGUUCCAAACAGGCGCUGCUCCUGCUGUGUUGGUCUAGGACUGAAGAUGGCUUGGAGCACAGUUGCAGAUGACACAUGAUGGACAGGGAUCCGGAAGGAGAAGGAAAUUGUUACUUUAAGCUCUGGAGAUUGUGGGGGGAGUAUUCACCAUUGCAGAAUAACUUGACCCAUCUUGACUGAUACAGACCCCUCCUCCCCUUCACUGUCCUGGUUUGGAAGCAAGAUGGGCUUUCAUAAGGCUCCAAGAAGUACCCCUGGGCAGCAGAAGUUGAUCUUGAGAGGAAGUAACUUCUACCUGGCCCCUCUAGCUGAAUUUCACAGCAGGCACUAGGCUGACUCUGUCCUGCCCGCUGAGAGCCAGGCCGGGGACAGGUUUUGCCUCUGGAAGACAGGGAAGACACAGAGACCAUGAAGGAACGGACUCAAAAUCACCCGGCAGGUUUGCCUUCUGGCUCUACUGACUGGCUUCAGGGAAAAGAGGGCAAGGCCCAAAUGCUGAAAUGUAAUGUAUUCUUUCACGAGGAUGGGGAUGAGAUUCUGCUGGCCCAACCAACAGGUACUGGUUACAUUCGGGGGUGUGGCUGUGGUCUUCACGGAUGCUGAAUGGAAGAGACUGAGCUCUGAGCAGAGGAGCGUCUACAAAGAAGUGAUGCUGGAGAAUUACGAGAGCCUGCUCUCAUUGGCAGAACCAAAGCCAGAAAUCUGUCCCUGUGCCUCCUGCCUUCUGGCCUUCUUCUGUCAGCAAGUCCUUAGCCAACAUGUGCUUCAGAUCGUCUUGGGCUUAAAUGUAGAGAAUCUUUUCCAUCCAAGGGAUUCUGGCCCCAGGCAUUGGGAGUGGCAGUAUUCGCUCAGAGCUGCUGGUUUGGAAACACAGAAGGUCAUCAGAGUGAAAGUGGUUCCUGGCCCCUAUGUGUGGGGACAGAGGAGACAGAGACCUCAGGAGCAUUCCCCAGCCUACCCCGAGCAUAGUCAGCAAGAGCUAGAGAAGGCCCCAUGGUGGUAGAGACAGAGCCUAGCUCAGCCCAAAGGCUAAACCCUGUGCAAACAGACAGGGGAAGGAGAGACGCCUCAAGACCCAGGGUACUCAGUGGUACAGAACCUGAACCAGACGAUCGCCUGAAAUCAGACUUUGUUACAAAGCAGAUGACCCACUUGCAGGAGAAACCCUCCCACUUGCGGGAGUGCGGGUAAGGCUUUAAAGUGGAUUCAACCCUCAUCAGACACCAGUGGACACACUCAAAGAAGAAGCCUUAUGGGCCCAGUUAGUGUGGCCGAGGCUUCAGCCAGAUGUCAAUCCUCAUUAAUCAUCAGAGGACACACUCAGGAGAAAAGCCAUAUGUGUGUAAGGAGUGCGGCUGAGGCUUUAGCCAGAAGUCCAACCUCAACAGACACCUGAGAACACAUUCAGAAGAGAAGCCUUGUGUGUGCGGGGAGUGUGGGCAGAGCUUUAGAAAUAAGUCAGUCUUGAUUAGAUGUCAGUGGACUCACUCUGUGGAGAAGCCUUAUGUCUGCAGCGAGUGUGGGCGAAGCUUCAGGGAGAAGUCAUACUUCAUCAGACACCAGAGGACACACUGUGGGGAGAAACCCUAUGUGUGCGUGGAGUGUGGUCGAGCCUUUGGUGAUAAGUCAGCCCUUAGAAAACACCAGAGGACACACUCAGAUGAGAAGCCUUACGUUUGUGGGCUUUUGGGGUAAGUCAGACCUCAGCAUACACGACAGGAUACAAUCGAGGGAGAAGCCUU
RNA transcript from Mustela lutreola (European mink), 2866 nucleotides. It is a transcript of the gene named zinc finger protein 343, with no coding region annotated. The transcript is spliced from 6 exons. The record is from RefSeq and is a predicted model, not a curated record. NCBI's taxonomy places the organism in Eukaryota, Metazoa, Chordata, Mammalia, Carnivora, Mustelidae.